AUUGAACGCUGGCGGCAGGCCUAACACAUGCAAGUCGAACGGUAACAGGAAGAAGCUUGCUUCUUUGCUGACGAGUGGCGGACGGGUGAGUAAUGUCUGGGAAACUGCCUGAUGGAGGGGGAUAACUACUGGAAACGGUAGCUAAUACCGCAUAACGUCGCAAGACCAAAGAGGGGGACCUUCGGGCCUCUUGCCACCGGAUGUGCCCAGAUGGGAUUAGCUAGUAGGUGGGGUAACGGCUCACCUAGGCGACGAUCCCUAGCUGGUCUGAGAGGAUGACCAGCCACACUGGAACUGAGACACGGUCCAGACUCCUACGGGAGGCAGCAGUGGGGAAUAUUGCACAAUGGGCGCAAGCCUGAUGCAGCCAUGCCGCGUGUAUGAAGAAGGCCUUCGGGUUGUAAAGUACUUUCAGCGGGGAGGAAGGGAGUAAAGUUAAUACCUUUGCUAAUUGACGUUACCCGCAGAAGAAGCACCGGCUAACUCCGUG
RNAcentral lists this ribosomal RNA (490 nucleotides) under uncultured bacterium. RNAcentral describes it as "partial 16S ribosomal RNA". It matches the Rfam family "Bacterial small subunit ribosomal RNA", at positions 30 to 507 of the family's 1533-position model. The record is from RNAcentral.